GUCCAAUUUGUUAGACGAAAAGACCCCAUUGAGCUUUACUGGAGUCUUACAUUGCUCGGAUCAACUCUCGCCCCCCCCUUGGCGGGGGGGUCGAAUUUAAAUGGAUAGCUUAGAUUAUGUGGUGUCAUAACCGUCGAUCAAGUAGUCCUUACAGGAUUACCCCCCCGAAGGUUGACCUAUUUGGGUGAAUGAAACCCCACUCUUCUUUGUUAAAUGAGCUAACCCUUUUCUCCCCUUAAAGGGGACAAUGUAAGUUGGAC
RNAcentral lists this ribosomal RNA (260 nucleotides) under Epizoanthus sp. Z2. Its description in RNAcentral is "partial 16S ribosomal RNA". Lineage: Eukaryota; Metazoa; Cnidaria; Anthozoa; Zoantharia; Epizoanthidae. RNAcentral also lists the same sequence under 1 other name. The record is from RNAcentral.